GCGGGAUUUGUAUAGUGGUAAUACGCUACCUUCCCAAGGUAGAGCCGCCAGUCCGAUUCUGGUAUCCCGCUCCA
This 74-nucleotide transfer RNA is filed under the name Candidatus Daviesbacteria bacterium RIFCSPHIGHO2_12_FULL_38_25. RNAcentral describes it as "tRNA-Gly". It matches the Rfam family "tRNA". Rfam says of the family: Transfer RNA (tRNA) molecules are approximately 80 nucleotides in length. The record is from RNAcentral. RNAcentral also lists the same sequence under 5 other names. Lineage: Bacteria; Candidatus Daviesiibacteriota.